AAAAGACUCUCGGCAACGGAUAUCUCGGCUCUUGCAUCGAUGAAGAACGUAGCGAAAUGCGAUACUUGGUGUGAAUUGCAGAAUCCCGUGAACCAUCGAGUCUUUGAACGCAAGUUGCGCCCGAAGCCAUUAGGCCGAGGGCACGCCUGCCUGGGUGUCGCG
This 162-nucleotide ribosomal RNA is filed under the name Neoharmsia madagascariensis. Its description in RNAcentral is "5.8S ribosomal RNA". It matches the Rfam family "5.8S ribosomal RNA". From Rfam's summary of the family: 5.8S ribosomal RNA (5.8S rRNA) is a component of the large subunit of the eukaryotic ribosome. It is transcribed by RNA polymerase I as part of the 45S precursor that also contains 18S and 28S rRNA. Functionally, it is thought that 5.8S rRNA may be involved in ribosome translocation. The record is from RNAcentral. Lineage: Eukaryota; Viridiplantae; Streptophyta; Magnoliopsida; Fabales; Fabaceae.